Molecule: long non-coding RNA, 693 nt
Organism: Ictalurus punctatus (channel catfish)
Lineage: Eukaryota; Metazoa; Chordata; Actinopteri; Siluriformes; Ictaluridae
Exons: 2
Source: RefSeq, a predicted model, not a curated record
GUGUGCGUGUGUGUGCGUGUGUGUGUGUGUGUGUGUGUGUGUGUGUGUGUAUGCGUUUGUAAGAGGAAGGCGAAGCUUAUUGCUGAUUGUCGGGAGGUGAGAGAGGACCAUGAGAGAGCUGACUCUCCAGUACUGCUCCAUAUGUCUGUGGGAGAAGGAGAACGAGAAACUCGGACACAAGAGUACUUCCUGACCAUUGGUACUAUGUACACAUCGACAUACACGCACGUCAGGAGCUUUCACACACAGUGCUAGGAAUAUCCCUGGACAGAGAAACACACCUCCUACGUGAGCGAGUUUACUGUCAACCGGUGAAAUUUGCUGUAGCGUGAACACUUCGCCUCUGUGAGCUUCACUCUCCGUCAGGUUCACUGUAAUUAGACAUAAAAUGUACAUAAUGUUUAUUUUUCAUACAUUUAGGAUUUAAUGUUUUUUUUUUUACUCUUCGAGGAACAGAAAUGAUCUUUCGAGGCAGCUUCUUCAUCACUACCUGCUCCGUUUGACUCAAAAACGUAACGACCGGUUUCAAAAAGUCACGAUGUCUUCAGUUCAUGUGAUUUUACUGUUGAAUUUAAACAGGAAAUGUGAAAUUGUUUUUUUCCUUUGUUUCCUCUACUGUCUUUUUGCUGUGAUCUUGAACACAGUUGUAAUUUUUUUUAAAAUAAUAAAUAAAUGAUCAUUCUAGUUCUCCCA